RNAcentral lists this long non-coding RNA (302 nucleotides) under Medicago truncatula (barrel medic). Its description in RNAcentral is "long non-coding RNA (MTRU_LNC004146)". The record is from RNAcentral. Lineage: Eukaryota; Viridiplantae; Streptophyta; Magnoliopsida; Fabales; Fabaceae.
UCAGAAUGAAAAAUGCACAGCAAAAAGGGUUCCUCUGGUUCUUCUCUCUUGCUCCUGGUUUUCUCUUCCUUGGCUUGGUUUCACGUAAAACUGUUUCUGACUCCCACUUUCUAUUUUCUUAACUUCCCACUUAAGAGUAACUCCCUCCUAAUUACACUUAACUCCCCCAAAUUCCUAAUAACUCCAAUUAAUUCCCCAAACACCAAAAUAAUUAAUAUUUCAUACUUAUUUUAAUUAUUAUUAAAUAAACCAUAUAAUAAAAUAAUAUACCAUAUAAAUCACCCAAAAUCACACAUAUAAAU